This 253-nucleotide ribosomal RNA is filed under the name uncultured bacterium. RNAcentral describes it as "partial 16S ribosomal RNA". It matches the Rfam family "Bacterial small subunit ribosomal RNA", at positions 524 to 776 of the family's 1533-position model. The record is from RNAcentral.
GACAGAGGGUGCAAACGUUGUUCGGAAUUACUGGGCGUAAAGCGCGUGUAGGCGGCUAUGUAAGUCGGGCGUGAAAUCCCACGGCUCAACCGUGGAAGUGCACCCGAAACUGCGUAGCUAGAGUCCUGGAGAGGAAGGUGGAAUGCUUGGUGUAGAGGUGAAAUUCGUAGAUAUCAAGCGGAACACCGGUGGCGAAGGCGACCACCUGGACUGAUACUGACACUGAGGUGCGAAAGCGUGGGGAGCAAACAGG